This 701-nucleotide ribosomal RNA is filed under the name Staphylococcus sp. GA46. RNAcentral's name for it is "bacterial SSU rRNA". It matches the Rfam family "Bacterial small subunit ribosomal RNA", at positions 103 to 791 of the family's 1533-position model. Lineage: Bacteria; Bacillati; Bacillota; Bacilli; Caryophanales; Staphylococcaceae. The record is from RNAcentral.
CGGGUGAGUAACACGUGGAUAACCUACCUAUAAGACUGGGAUAACUUCGGGAAACCGGAGCUAAUACCGGAUAACAUAUUGAACCGCAUGGUUCAAUAGUGAAAGGCGGCUUUGCUGUCACUUAUAGAUGGAUCCGCGCCGUAUUAGCUAGUUGGUAAGGUAACGGCUUACCAAGGCAACGAUACGUAGCCGACCUGAGAGGGUGAUCGGCCACACUGGAACUGAGACACGGUCCAGACUCCUACGGGAGGCAGCAGUAGGGAAUCUUCCGCAAUGGGCGAAAGCCUGACGGAGCAACGCCGCGUGAGUGAUGAAGGUCUUCGGAUCGUAAAACUCUGUUAUCAGGGAAGAACAAAUGUGUAAGUAACUGUGCACAUCUUGACGGUACCUGAUCAGAAAGCCACGGCUAACUACGUGCCAGCAGCCGCGGUAAUACGUAGGUGGCAAGCGUUAUCCGGAAUUAUUGGGCGUAAAGCGCGCGUAGGCGGUUUUUUAAGUCUGAUGUGAAAGCCCACGGCUCAACCGUGGAGGGUCAUUGGAAACUGGAAAACUUGAGUGCAGAAGAGGAAAGUGGAAUUCCAUGUGUAGCGGUGAAAUGCGCAGAGAUAUGGAGGAACACCAGUGGCGAAGGCGACUUUCUGGUCUGUAACUGACGCUGAUGUGCGAAAGCGUGGGGAUCAAACAGGAUUAGAUACCCUGGU